Molecule: ribosomal RNA, 301 nt
Filed under: uncultured bacterium
Lineage: Bacteria
Description: partial 16S ribosomal RNA
Rfam family: Bacterial small subunit ribosomal RNA
Source: RNAcentral
CAGCAGCCGCGGUAAUACGUAGGUGGCAAGCGUUGUCCGGAAUUAUUGGGCGUAAAGGGCUCGCAGGCGGUUUCUUAAGUCUGAUGUGAAAGCCCACGGCUCAACCGUGGAGGGUCAUUGGAAACUGGAAAACUUGAGUGCAGAAGAGGAAAGUGGAAUUCCAUGUGUAGCGGUGAAAUGCGCAGAGAUAUGGAGGAACACCAGUGGCGAAGGCGACUUUCUGGUCUGUAACUGACGCUGAUGUGCGAAAGCGUGGGGAUCAAACAGGAUUAGAUACCCGCGUAGUCCCUGUCUCUUAUAC